UUCCACAAGGUUUUCAGUGAUGGGGGUGA
This 29-nucleotide non-coding RNA is filed under the name Rattus norvegicus (Norway rat). Lineage: Eukaryota; Metazoa; Chordata; Mammalia; Rodentia; Muridae. The record is from RNAcentral.